This 484-nucleotide ribosomal RNA is filed under the name uncultured bacterium. RNAcentral's name for it is "partial 16S ribosomal RNA". It matches the Rfam family "Bacterial small subunit ribosomal RNA", at positions 30 to 507 of the family's 1533-position model. The record is from RNAcentral.
AUUGAACGCUGGCGGCAGGCCUAACACAUGCCAGUCGAGCGGAUGAAGGGAGCUUGCUCCUGGAUUCAGCGGCGGACGGGUGAGUAAUGCCUAGGAAUCUGCCUGGUAGUGGGGGAUAACGUCCGGAAACGGGCGCUAAUACCGCAUACGUCCUGAGGGAGAAAGUGGGGGAUCUUCGGACCUCACGCUAUCAGAUGAGCCUAGGUCGGAUUAGCUAGUUGGUGGGGUAAAGGCCUACCAAGGCGACGAUCCGUAACUGGUGUGAGAGGAUGAUCAGUCACACUGGAACUGAGACACGGUCCAGACUCCUACGGGAGGCAGCAGUGGGGAAUAUUGGACAAUGGGCGAAAGCCUGAUCCAGCCAUGCCGCGUGUGUGAAGAAGGUCUUCGGAUUGUAAAGCACUUUAAGUUGGGAGGAAGGGCAGUAAGUUAAUACCUUGCUGUUUUGACGUUACCAACAGAAUAAGCACCGGCUAACUUCGUG